UGUGCUCUUCCGAUCUUCCACGCUCACGGGAACAUCCGGGGUAGUAUUUUCCACCAUCCUGUCACUGGCAUUAGUCUCUUCCUGUUGCUGCUGUACAAUCUGGGAGCUGUUUCUGAGCCUGUUUAUUUAUUGAGCCCACCACUGCCCAUGCCCCUCACCCCAGCGCUGUGUGUCAGCCAGGUCACGCCCUCGUGACCUGCCCCCAGCCUGGGGAAGAACUUGGCCUUAACUUCCGCCAGAGCAGGGGGAAGUCUC
Long non-coding RNA from Herpailurus yagouaroundi (jaguarundi), 255 nucleotides. RefSeq lists it as uncharacterized. The transcript has 3 exons. The record is from RefSeq and is a predicted model, not a curated record. NCBI's taxonomy places the organism in Eukaryota, Metazoa, Chordata, Mammalia, Carnivora, Felidae.